RNAcentral lists this ribosomal RNA (492 nucleotides) under uncultured bacterium. RNAcentral describes it as "partial 16S ribosomal RNA". It matches the Rfam family "Bacterial small subunit ribosomal RNA", at positions 29 to 506 of the family's 1533-position model. The record is from RNAcentral.
AGUGAACGCUGGCGGUAGGCCUAACACAUGCAAGUCGAACGGCAGCACAGUAAGAGCUUUCUCUUACGGGUGGCGAGUGGCGGACGGGUGAGGAAUACAUCGGAAUCUACUUUUUCGGGGGGGAUAACGUAGGGACACUUACGCUAAUACCUCAUACGACCUACGGGUGAAAGCAGGGGAUCUUCGGACCUUUCGCGAUUGAAUGAGCCGAUGUCGGAUUAGCUAGUUGGGGGGGUAAAGGCCCACCUAAGCGACGAUCCGUUGCCUGGCCGAGGAGAAUGAUCGGCAAACCUGGACUUGAGAACCGGCCAAGACUCCAACGGGAGGAAGCAGUGGGGAAUAUUGGAAAAUGGGCGAAAGCCUGAUCCAGCCAGACGGGGUGGGUGAAGAAGGCCUUCGGGUUGUAAAGCCCUUUUGUUGGGAAAGAAAAGCAGCAGGUUAAUACCGCGCUGUUCUGACGGUACCAAAAGAAUAAGCACCGGCUAACUUCGU